GGAAGGAUCAUUCACAAUAUUCUUGUUUUGGUAUCUUUCAUGUUGCUAAUUUGAUUUCCGGUCUGGUACACGCAUAUCAGAAUAAACCUAAAUGCGCACCUCCUUUGACAAUGGAUACCUCGGCUCCCACAGCGAUGAAGACCGCAGUGAAACGCGUAAAUACAUGUGAAUUGCAGUUCACCGUGAAUCAUCGUGUCGUCGAACGCAGCCUGCACCCCUUGAGGAACUAACGUACCUGUUGGGGUAGUCCUUUUUGAGCGCUAGACAGGAGAAGGCCAAAAAACUGUGCUUCUUUCAUACUGUUUGAAAAGGUUUGACAUUCUCGUGUUGGACCUUUUCUCUUGGUUACUCUCCUUUGAACACGCGGAAGGUACUCCAAUUCAUUUUGGUUUGACUUGUCCGUUCAUUUGGUAAGGGAUCAAUGUCCCUUUCCACGUAGUGAGGGUGCCCCGAAAGGGGACUCCCUUUAAGCAAACCUUUUACUACAAAUGACUAGUCCAUGUUGGUUGUUGGGUUGUAAAAGGACCACUUAAAUUGACUGCUUAGAGACUUUCGGGUCUUGCUGUAGUUUAUUUUUGCCUGGCCUCAAAUUAGGAUAGCCGACCCGCUGAACUUAAGCAUAUUAGUAAGCGGAGGAAAAGAAACUAAUAAGGAUUCCCUUAGUAGCGGCGAGUGAAAGGGGAAAAGCCCAUCCCUAAAAUCUGGCGCGCUCCCAAGCGGCCAGAGUUGUGGGGUAAGGCCUAAGUCCGACUGAGCGGGGGGAAACCUCUUGGCUGUUUUGAAUGGAAUCGUAAGUUUGAACAACUAACGCCUGCAAAGGUACCAUAGAGGGUAAAAGUCCCGUACAUUCAAAAUGGUGCUCAACUGGGUUUAGGUCACGAGUAGGGUUGCUUGAUAGUGCAGCCUGAAGACGGGGGAUGAACUUCCUCUAAGGCUAAAUACUGCGUGGGAGACCGAUAGAGAACCAGUACCGCGAGGGAAAGGUGAAAAGCACUCUGGUAAGAGGGUGAAAUAGAGCUUGAAAUUGUCAAUGGUCAUCCGUAGCUAGGAGUUAAAUUCGAGCCGUUGCUUCCUGUUGUGUCUGUGGUCUACUUGCGUUUAGGCUAUGGGCAUAGUAGCUAUACAAUGGUUUGUUUCUCAGUGACACGUUCUUGUUUACUAAACUCAUGGACAAGGAAGUCUUACCAUUUCGGUGGUUUGAUGUUAAUUUCUGUGUAAAUUGUCAAAUGAGAGCGUUUCUAACCUAAAAGAGUACGGGGUAACCCGGACAUUUUAGUUUGUCUCGGUGUCAAACUGGGGUAUCCUGGUGUCUUUGUAUUGGGUCAUUUGGUUCACGCUGAGUGAUUUGGUACAGGGGUGUUGGGACCUUGGGUUGGUGUUGGGAACUUCAUUCUAAAUAGUUCAGUACUCUCUUGUUACUGAGUUGAGCGUCUAGCUGCGACCCGUCUUGAAACACGGACCAAGGAGUUCAACGUGUAUGCGAGUGCAACCAGGUGAAUCUGGGAGUGCGAAAUGAAAGUGAAUGUCACCAAUUCCUGUAAUGGGAUGUCAGUGGCCAUCGCACGUGUUUGCGUCGCGAAUGAGAGCAUACCCGUUGAGACCCGAAAGAUGGCGAACUAUACCUGGGUUGGUUGAAGCCAGAGGAAACUCUGGUGGAAGACCUUGCAUUCGUGCUGACGUGCAAAUCGCUGAUCAGAACUGGGUAUAGGGGCGAAAGACUCAUCGAGCCAUCUAGUAGCUGGUUCCCUC
This 1749-nucleotide unclassified non-coding RNA is filed under the name uncultured fungus. RNAcentral describes it as "sequence contains 18S rRNA gene, ITS1, 5.8S rRNA gene, ITS2, 28S rRNA gene". The stretch from base 581 to 1749 matches the Rfam family "Eukaryotic large subunit ribosomal RNA", at positions 1 to 961 of the family's 3401-position model. Lineage: Eukaryota; Fungi. The record is from RNAcentral.